GGUUGAUCCUGCCAGUAGUCAUAUGCUUGUCUCAAAGAUUAAGCCAUGCAUGUCUAAGUAUAAGCUUUUAUACGGUGAAACUGCGAAUGGCUCAUUAAAACAGUUAUAGUUUAUUUGAUGGUCUCUUUUACAUGGAUAACCAUGGUAAUUCUAUGGCUAAUACAUGCGCAAUCGCCUCCUUCUUUGGAGGGGCUGUGUUUAUUAGAUACAAAACCAACCCACAUUUUUGUGGAGUCGUGGUGAUUCAUAGUAACCGAACGGAUCGCAGUUGGCUUUUGCCCGCGAUGGAUCUU
This 293-nucleotide ribosomal RNA is filed under the name uncultured eukaryote. RNAcentral describes it as "partial 18S ribosomal RNA". It matches the Rfam family "Eukaryotic small subunit ribosomal RNA", at positions 6 to 298 of the family's 1831-position model. The record is from RNAcentral.